This 492-nucleotide ribosomal RNA is filed under the name uncultured bacterium. Its description in RNAcentral is "partial 16S ribosomal RNA". It matches the Rfam family "Bacterial small subunit ribosomal RNA", at positions 29 to 507 of the family's 1533-position model. The record is from RNAcentral.
AGUGAACGCUGGCGGUAGGCCUAACACGUGCAAGUCGAACGGCAGCACAGUAAGAGCUUGCUCUUACGGGUGGCGAGUGGCGGACGGGUGAGGAAUACAUCGGAAUCUACUUUUUCGUGGGGGAUAACGUAGGGAAACUUACGCUAAUACCGCAUACGACCUACGGGUGAAAGCAGGGGAUCUUCGGACCUUGCGCGAUUGAAUGAGCCGAUGUCGGAUUAGCUAGUUGGCGGGGUAAAGGCCCACCAAGGCGACGAUCCGUAGCUGGUCUGAGAGGAUGAUCAGCCACACUGGAACUGAGACACGGUCCAGACUCCUACGGGAGGCAGCAGUGGGGAAUAUUGGACAAUGGGCGAAAGCCUGAUCCAGCCAUACCGCGUGGGUGAAGAAGGCCUUCGGGUUGUAAAGCCCUUUUGUUGGGAAAGAAAAGCAGCAGGUUAAUACCCCGCUGUUCUGACGGUACCCAAAGAAUAAGCACCGGCUAACUUCGUG